CCCUAGUAACUGCGAGUGAAGCGGGAAAAGCUCAAAUUUAAAAUCUGGCGGUCUUUGGCCGUCCGAGUUGUAAUCUAGAGAAGUGUUAUCCGCGCUGGACCGUGUACAAGUCUCCUGGAAUGGAGCGUCAUAGAGGGUGAGAAUCCCGUCUUUGACACGGACUGCCAGGGCUUUGUGAUGCGCUCUCAAAGAGUCGAGUUGUUUGGGAAUGCAGCUCCAAAUGGGUGGUAAAUUCCAUCUAAAGCUAAAUAUUGGCGAGAGACCGAUAGCGAACAAGUACCGUGAGGGAAAGAUGAAAAGAACUUUGGAAAGAGAGUUAAACAGUACGUGAAAUUGCUGAAAGGGAAACGCUUGAAGUCAGUCGCGUUGGCCGGGGAUCAACCUUGCUUUUGCUGGGCGUACUUUCCGGUCGACGGGUCAGCAUCAAUUUUGACCGUUGGAUAAAGUCUAGAGGAAUGUGGCAUCUUCGGGUGUGUUAUAGCCUCUGGUCGCAUACAACGGUUGGGAUUGAGGAACUCAGCACGCCGCAAGGCCGGGUACUCGUACCACGUUCGUGCUUAGGAUGCUGGCAUAAUGGCUUUAAUCGACCCGUCUUGAAACACGGACCAAGGAGUCUAACAUGCCUGCGAGUGUUUGGGUGGAAAACCCGAGCGCGUAAUGAAAGUGAAAGUUGAGAUCCCUGUCGUGGGGAGCAUCGACGCCCGGACCAGACCUUCUGUGACGGUUCCGCGGUAGAGCAUGUAUGUUGGGACCC
This 754-nucleotide ribosomal RNA is filed under the name Agrocybe pediades. RNAcentral's name for it is "eukaryotic LSU rRNA". It matches the Rfam family "Eukaryotic large subunit ribosomal RNA", at positions 78 to 817 of the family's 3401-position model. Lineage: Eukaryota; Fungi; Basidiomycota; Agaricomycetes; Agaricales; Agrocybaceae. The record is from RNAcentral.